CUCCUUACUGUACUCUAGACAAGACCUCCGAUUCAGGUUUUCAAUCAAAGAAGGAGUAAUUGUUCGGAAAGAUCGACAUGAAGAUGAAACUUAUCGCGGAAACUCAGCCGGAACCAUCACUGCUUACUACAUAUCUUUCUUCAAAAGGCGAGACAUGGGAUGAGAUCGAUUUCAAGUUCUUGGGUAAUGUUAUCAGACAGCCUUAAGUUCUUCAUACGAAUGUGUUCACAGGAGGCAAAGGUAACUGCGAAAUGCAGUUCUAUCUGUGGUUCGAUCCCACUACGGAUCUCCACACCUACACUGUCCCACUAGAUUUUUCUUGUGGAUGGAAUUCCAAUUUGAGUGUUCAAGAACAACGAGGCUAAUGGUGUGGCUUACCCAAAGAGUCAGCCGAUGAAGAUAUACUGAUCAAGUCUUUGGGAAGCUGAUGAUUGGGCCACACAAGGCCGACGAGUCAAGACCGAUUGGACCACCACUCCAUUCAUCGCUUACUACCGAAGCUUCAACGAUGUUGACUGCUGUAGCCGGACCUAGAUAUUUUGAGACCUUACUAAUGGUCAGUUACAUACU
Camelina sativa (false flax) is the source of this 570-nucleotide long non-coding RNA. RefSeq lists it as uncharacterized. Lineage: Eukaryota; Viridiplantae; Streptophyta; Magnoliopsida; Brassicales; Brassicaceae. The record is from RefSeq and is a predicted model, not a curated record.